RNAcentral lists this microRNA precursor (100 nucleotides) under Marmota monax (woodchuck). Lineage: Eukaryota; Metazoa; Chordata; Mammalia; Rodentia; Sciuridae. The record is from RNAcentral.
AGUGGAACUGCUUGGUUAUAUGGUCACUUUAUGGUUAACUUUUUGAGUACUCCAAACUAUUCCUAAAGUAGCCAUACCAUUUUACAUUUCUACCAACAAU